Molecule: ribosomal RNA, 465 nt
Filed under: Vreelandella stevensii
Lineage: Bacteria; Pseudomonadati; Pseudomonadota; Gammaproteobacteria; Oceanospirillales; Halomonadaceae
Description: partial 16S ribosomal RNA
Rfam family: Bacterial small subunit ribosomal RNA
Source: RNAcentral
CCUACGGGUGGCUGCAGUGGGGAAUAUUGGACAAUGGGGGCAACCCUGAUCCAGCCAUGCCGCGUGUGUGAAGAAGGCCCUCGGGUUGUAAAGCACUUUCAGUGAGGAAGAACGCCUGGUGGUUAAUACCCAUCAGGAAAGACAUCACUCACAGAAGAAGCACCGGCUAACUCCGUGCCAGCAGCCGCGGUAAUACGGAGGGUGCGAGCGUUAAUCGGAAUUACUGGGCGUAAAGCGCGCGUAGGUGGCUUGAUAAGCCGGUUGUGAAAGCCCCGGGCUCAACCUGGGAACGGCAUCCGGAACUGUCAAGCUAGAGUGCAGGAGAGGAAUGUAGAAUUCCCGGUGUAGCGGUGAAAUGCGUAGAGAUCGGGAGGAAUACCAGUGGCGAAGGCGGCCUUCUGGACUGACACUGACACUGAGGUGCGAAAGCGUGGGUAGCAAACAGGAUUAGAUACCCCAGUAGUC